UACGGGGGGGGCAAGCGUUGUUCGGAAUUACUGGGCGUAAAGGGCUCGUAGGCGGCUAACUAAGUCGGAUGUGAAAUCCCCAGGCUCAACCUGGGAACUGCAUCCGAUACUGGAUGGCUUGAAUUCGGGAGAGGGAUGCAGAAUUCCAGGUGUAGCGGUGAAAUGCGUAGAUAUCUGGAGGAAUACCGGUGGCGAAGGCGGCAUCCUGGACCGACAUUGACGCUGAGGAGCGAAAGCCAGGGGAGCAAACGGG
Molecule: ribosomal RNA, 253 nt
Filed under: uncultured bacterium
Lineage: Bacteria
Description: partial 16S ribosomal RNA
Rfam family: Bacterial small subunit ribosomal RNA
Source: RNAcentral